AGCCCGUGAGUCGUUGUGCGGAGGACACACGUGCACAUCUCAGUACCCGCCUUGUGACACCGUGCCUAGGGACGUAUUCCGCAAAUUUCCGAAAAGAAUGUGUGGUGGUUUCUCGACUCUGUAAAAGUUCUGUGUUAAUUCAAAAACUGGAAGAUCUGGUCAAUAGAAGUUUCAUUUCCACGAACCAACCUUUCUUUAAGUCGGAUUUGAGUGUGGUUUUUUUCCUCCAAAUCAGCUGGCAGAAAUAAAGCAAAUACCAGGCUGCCCUAAGCCAAAGAGAAUAAAGAAACAAUCAAGCGAUUCAGGCAGGAUUAUAACCGGAAGUGACACAAUAUUUCCAGUCAUCAAGUCAUUUGAAGUAUAAACCCGGGGAUUCUCACAAUUUCUGGAUUACUUGCACAUGUGAACGCAUUCUUCUGUGCCUACUUCGUGGUGAAGGAGACUUGCCAGGGAAAGGUCUUCGUUUAUUCUAACAGGACAGUGCAAUCAUUCCAAAAAGAGAGUAACUGAGGAAUUCGUAACAUAACAUAACAUUACAGAAGGCGACGACAACUAGGCAAAGCGGGAAGAAGAGAGAGAGAGAGAGAGAGAGAGAGAGAGAGAGAGAGAGAGAGA
Long non-coding RNA from Aplysia californica (California sea hare), 615 nucleotides. RefSeq lists it as uncharacterized. Lineage: Eukaryota; Metazoa; Mollusca; Gastropoda; Aplysiida; Aplysiidae. The record is from RefSeq and is a predicted model, not a curated record. The transcript is spliced from 2 exons.